RNAcentral lists this unclassified non-coding RNA (342 nucleotides) under Trechisporales sp. RNAcentral describes it as "partial contains 5.8S ribosomal RNA, internal transcribed spacer 2, and large subunit ribosomal RNA". The stretch from base 1 to 71 matches the Rfam family "5.8S ribosomal RNA", at positions 84 to 154 of the family's 154-position model. Lineage: Eukaryota; Fungi; Basidiomycota; Agaricomycetes; Trechisporales. The record is from RNAcentral.
GUGAGUCAUCGAAUCUUUGAACGCACCUUGCGCUCCUUGGUAUUCCGAGGAGCAUGCCUGUUUGAGUGUCUUGAAGUCAUCAACCCCUCCCGUUUCGUGCGGUGAGGUGCGUUGGAGAUGGGGGCCUGCGGUCGCGAGCCCGCUCCCCUCAAAUGCUUCGGUUGGGCCUGCGGGUCGAACUCGGUUGGGCGUUGUAACAACCUCGCUCUCCUCCGAGAUGUUCCCGUCUUUUCGUGCCCCUCCACGACCGCCUGAAGAGCGGCGGUCAAAAGCAACUUUGAAAUCUGACCUCAAAUCAGGUAGGACUACCCGCUGAACUUAAGCAUAUCAAUAAGCGGAGGA